This 246-nucleotide long non-coding RNA is filed under the name Vicia faba (fava bean). The record is from RNAcentral. Lineage: Eukaryota; Viridiplantae; Streptophyta; Magnoliopsida; Fabales; Fabaceae.
AUGCUCUCGAUUUCCAUACAGUGGGGCGAUUUCUUAAGGAGUCUCUUCCUUCAUCACCGCCACCAAUCUCCUCGAGCCAGAUCGACCAAAUGGAAAGGGAGUGAAACUUCACUCAGAAAUUUCUUAAAUCUGGAUCGCGAUAAUCUCUCGGUGGCGAGCUCUACUUCCGCCGCGAUGGCAACAGGCGCGACUGAAUCUUUAGUUGUGUUGAUGAUGAAGCAGAAGUUUGAAGAAGUAUUGCAGUAG